RNAcentral lists this transfer RNA (73 nucleotides) under Ovis aries (sheep). It matches the Rfam family "tRNA". Rfam says of the family: Transfer RNA (tRNA) molecules are approximately 80 nucleotides in length. Their secondary structure includes four short double-helical elements and three loops (D, anti-codon, and T loops). Further hydrogen bonds mediate the characteristic L-shaped molecular structure. tRNAs have two regions of fundamental functional importance: the anti-codon, which is responsible for specific mRNA codon recognition, and the 3' end, to which the tRNAs corresponding amino acid is attached (by aminoacyl-tRNA synthetases). tRNAs cope with the degeneracy of the genetic code in two manners: having more than one tRNA (with a specific anti-codon) for a particular amino acid; and 'wobble' base-pairing, i.e. permitting non-standard base-pairing at the 3rd anti-codon position. Lineage: Eukaryota; Metazoa; Chordata; Mammalia; Artiodactyla; Bovidae. The record is from Rfam by way of RNAcentral.
UCCUUGGUGGUCCAGUGGUUAAGACGCUGUGCUCCCAAUGCAGGGGGCAUAGGUUCAAUCCCUCGUCAGGGAA